UACGUAGGUCCCGAGCGUUGUCCGGAUUUAUUGGGCGUAAAGCGAGCGCAGGUGGUUUAUUAAGUCUGGUGUAAAAGGCAGUGGCUCAACCAUUGUAUGCAUUGGAAACUGGUAGACUUGAGUGCAGGAGAGGAGAGUGGAAUUCCAUGUGUAGCGGUGAAAUGCGUAGAUAUAUGGAGGAACACCGAUGGCGAAAGCGGCUCUCUGGCCUGUAACUGACACUGAGGCUCGAAAGCGUGGGGAGCAAACAGG
RNAcentral lists this ribosomal RNA (252 nucleotides) under uncultured bacterium. RNAcentral describes it as "partial 16S ribosomal RNA". It matches the Rfam family "Bacterial small subunit ribosomal RNA", at positions 524 to 776 of the family's 1533-position model. The record is from RNAcentral.